GUUCAGUUGGCUCAGUGUGGGGUACAGGAACAGGGAAGGCAAAUCGGUAGGAGGUUGACUGAGAAAACGGUAGACAUUACACCCGGAACUUCUAUCAUUCUACCUACUGGCUGUGUUCCCUGCACCUGUCAUCCCUCUGCUCUGCCCAGUGUCUUUCAGAAUUCUUUAUCGUCCUCUAGUUGGGAACGCCAACAGCUCAGCUUCUCCUAAAGAUCCUUCCACGAGGUAUGGGUUUGGGGCAGGGGGAAAGGGUAGGGAGAGGACACACGAGUACUCAUGUGUCUGAAACUUCCUAGAAAACAGGGCUGUUUUCUCUUGCCAGGAAUCACAGACAAUCUUCCUGUACAGAACAGUCAUUUCAAUCAAGACUUGUAGCUUAACAAGUAGGGAACAGAAGGUCAUUCUCUAAGACAGGAUGCCGGGAGGACAAGAGCUGAAUGGGCCAAGCUGGGCCAGAGACGCCAUCCCCAGCCAGAAUCCCCCCAGGGAAAUUAUUCCUGAGCCUGCACUAUAUGAUAAACAGGUGCCAUAUAUUCUGGACCUGUGGAAUGGACUCCAAAUGAGAGACCCUCUGGAUAGACGUCUAAAGACACUUUAUUUGGAGAGAGCCUUCCCUCAUUCAGCAACCCAAUCGCCUUGAUUUGGACUUUGGGUCUGUGUGUGCCUACACAGAGGUGGGAGGUCGACAGGACCAUGUUGGGGUUAAAUAAAAACCCACACCCCUCUCUUGCCA
This 733-nucleotide long non-coding RNA is filed under the name Monodelphis domestica (gray short-tailed opossum). RNAcentral describes it as "lncRNA (ENSMODG00000039332.1)". Lineage: Eukaryota; Metazoa; Chordata; Mammalia; Didelphimorphia; Didelphidae. The record is from RNAcentral.